Non-coding RNA from Mustela putorius furo (domestic ferret), 309 nucleotides. NCBI's taxonomy places the organism in Eukaryota, Metazoa, Chordata, Mammalia, Carnivora, Mustelidae. The record is from Rfam.
ACUGGGGGCAGUGGCCCACGCCUGGAGUCCCAGCUACUUCGGAGGCUGAGGCAGGAGGAUGCCUUGAUCCCAGGAGUUCUGGGCUAUGGUGCCCUCUGCCAUUUGGGCAUCGGCACUAAGUUGGGCAUCAACAUAGUGGCCUCCCACGAGCUGGGGGGACCAUCAAGUUGCCUAAGGAGGGGUGAAUCGGCCCAGGUCAGAAAUACAGCAGGUCACGGGACACCUGGGUGUCUCAGUCAGUUAAGCAUCUGCCUUUGGCUCGGGUCACGAUCCCAGCGUCCUGGGAUCGAGUUCCACAUCAGGUUCCUU